UACGUAGGCGGAUCAGAAAGUUAGGGGUGAAAUCCCGGGGCUCAACCUCGGAACUGCCUCUAAAACUCCUGGUCUUGAGUUCGAGAGAGGUGAGUGGAAUUCCAAGUGUAGAGGUGAAAUUCGUAGAUAUUUGGAGGAACACCAGUGGCGAAGGCGGCUCACUGGCUCGAUACUGACGCUGAGGUACGAAAGUGUGGGGAGCAAACA
Molecule: ribosomal RNA, 207 nt
Filed under: uncultured bacterium
Lineage: Bacteria
Description: partial 16S ribosomal RNA
Rfam family: Bacterial small subunit ribosomal RNA
Source: RNAcentral